ACGAGCGCAACCCUUGUCUUUAGUUACCAUCAUUAAGUUGGGGACGUCUAGAGAGACUGCCGGUGAUAAACCGGAGGAAGGUGGGGAUGACGUCAAAUCAUCAUACCCCUUAUGGCCUGGGCUACAAACGUAAUACAAUGGCGUAUACAAAGGGAUGCGAAAGGGCGACCUGGAGCAAAACUCACAAAGUACGUCUCAGUUCAGGUUGGAGUCUGCAACUCGACUCCAUGAAGGCGGAAUCGCUAGUAAUCGCGGAUCAGCAUGCCGCGGUGAAUACGUUCUCGGGGUUU
This 290-nucleotide ribosomal RNA is filed under the name uncultured Erysipelothrix sp. Its description in RNAcentral is "partial 16S ribosomal RNA". It matches the Rfam family "Bacterial small subunit ribosomal RNA", at positions 1092 to 1382 of the family's 1533-position model. The record is from RNAcentral. Lineage: Bacteria; Bacillati; Bacillota; Erysipelotrichia; Erysipelotrichales; Erysipelotrichaceae.